AGAGUUUGAUCCUGGCUCAGGACAAACGCUGGCGGCGUGCCUAACACAUGCAAGUCAAGGAGAACGUCCCCUUCGGGGGACUAUUAAACUGGCGGACGGGUGAGUAACGCGUAGGUAACCUGCCCCAGAGACCGGGACAACCCAUCGAAAGACGGGCUAAUACCGGAUGAUGCAGCGGAUCCUCAGGGAUAUGUUGUUAAAGGGGGCCUUCGGGUCCUGCUUUGGGAUGGGCCUGCGUCCGAUUAGUUAGUUGGUAAGAUAAAAGCUUACCAAGGCGAUGAUCGGUAGCUGGUCUGAGAGGAUGAUCAGCCACACUGGGAUUGAGAUACGGCCCAGACUCCUACGGGAGGCAGCAGUGGGGAAUCUUGCGCAAUGGGCGAAAGCCUGACGCAGCAACGCCGCGUGACUGAUGAAGCUUCUAGGAGUGUAAAGGUCUGUCGUGAGGGAAGAACAGUAUCCAUGUAAAUAGCAUGGGCAUUUGACGGUACCUCACAAGAAAGCACCGGCUAACUUCGUGCCAGCAGCCGCGGUAAUACGAGGGGUGCUAGCGUUGUCCGGAAUCACUGGGCGUAAAGGGCGCGUAGGCGUCUUAGCAAGCCUUGAUUGAAAUCCCCCGGCUCAACCGGGGAACUGGUCAGGGAACUGCUAGGAUAGAGUUUGGUAGGGGAGAGCGGAAUUCCUGGUGUAGCGGUGAUAUGCGUAGAUAUCAGGAGGAACACCUAAAGCGAAGGCAGCUCUCUGGGCCAAUACUGACGCUGAGGCGCGAAAGCGUGGGGAGCAAACAGGAUUAGAUACCCUGGUAGUCCACGCCGUAAACGAUGAGCACUUGGUGUCGGGGGAUUCGACCCCCUCGGUGCCGUAGCUAACGUGUUAAGUGCUCCGCCUGGGGACUACGACCGCAAGGUUGAAACUCAAAGGAAUUGACGGGGGCCCGCACAAGCGGUGGAACAUGUGGUUUAAUUCGAUGCAACGCGAAGAACCUUACCUGGGCUUGACAUGUCAGUGAAAGCUCCGUGAAAGCGGAGCCCUCUGCGAGCUUGCUCAAAGACACUGUCACAGGUGGUGCAUGGCUGUCGUCAGCUCGUGUCGUGAGAUGUUUGGUGAAGUUCCUCUACGAGCGCAACUUUUUUCCUUAGUUGCCAGUACGUUAUGGUUGGUACUUUAAGG
This 1167-nucleotide ribosomal RNA is filed under the name marine metagenome. RNAcentral's name for it is "bacterial SSU rRNA". It matches the Rfam family "Bacterial small subunit ribosomal RNA", at positions 8 to 1145 of the family's 1533-position model. The record is from RNAcentral.